GAUGAACGCUGGCGGCGUGCCUAAUACAUGCAAGUCGAGCGAACCACUUCGGUGGUGAGCGGCGAACGGGUGAGUAACACGUAGGUGAUCUGCCCAUCAGACGGGGACAACGAUUGGAAACGAUCGCUAAUACCGGAUAGGAAGAAAGUUUAAAGGUGCUUCUGGCACCGCUGAUGGAUGAGCCUGCGGCGCAUUAGCUAGUUGGUAGGGUAAAGGCCUACCAAGGCGACGAUGCGUAGCCGACCUGAGAGGGUGAACGGCCACACUGGGACUGAGACACGGCCCAGACUCCUACGGGAGGCAGCAGUAGGGAAUCUUCGGCAAUGGGCGAAAGCCUGACCGAGCAACGCCGCGUGAAUGAUGAAGGCCUUCGGGUUAUAAAAUUCUGUUAUAAGGGAAGAACGACUUUAGUAGGAAAUGGCUAGAGUGUGACGGUACCUUAUGAGAAAGCCACGGCUAACUACGUGCCAGCCGCCGCAGUAA
Molecule: ribosomal RNA, 483 nt
Filed under: uncultured bacterium
Lineage: Bacteria
Description: partial 16S ribosomal RNA
Rfam family: Bacterial small subunit ribosomal RNA
Source: RNAcentral